This 1484-nucleotide ribosomal RNA is filed under the name Lactococcus lactis. RNAcentral's name for it is "bacterial SSU rRNA". It matches the Rfam family "Bacterial small subunit ribosomal RNA". Lineage: Bacteria; Bacillati; Bacillota; Bacilli; Lactobacillales; Streptococcaceae. The record is from RNAcentral.
GGUCCUCGGGCUCUCCUCAUGUUGUUGAGCGCUGUAGGUUGGCUACUUGCUACCGCACUGAGAUGAGCAGCGAACGGGUGAGUAACGCGUGGGGAAUCUGCCUUUGAGCGGGGGACAACAUUUGGAAACGAAUGCUAAUACCGCAUAAAAACUUUAAACACAAGUUUUAAGUUUGAAAGAUGCAAUUGCAUCACUCAAAGAUGAUCCCGCGUUGUAUUAGCUAGUUGGUGAGGUAAAGGCUCACCAAGGCGAUGAUACAUAGCCGACCUGAGAGGGUGAUCGGCCACAUUGGGACUGAGACACGGCCCAAACUCCUACGGGAGGCAGCAGUAGGGAAUCUUCGGCAAUGGACGAAAGUCUGACCGAGCAACGCCGCGUGAGUGAAGAAGGUUUUCGGAUCGUAAAACUCUGUUGGUAGAGAAGAACGUUGGUGAGAGUGGAAAGCUCAUCAAGUGACGGUAACUACCCAGAAAGGGACGGCUAACUACGUGCCAGCAGCCGCGGUAAUACGUAGGUCCCGAGCGUUGUCCGGAUUUAUUGGGCGUAAAGCGAGCGCAGGUGGUUUAUUAAGUCUGGUGUAAAGGCAGUGGCUCAACCAUUGUAUGCAUUGGAAACUGGUAGACUUGAGUGCAGGAGAGGAGAGUGGAAUUCCAUGUGUAGCGGUGAAAUGCGUAGAUAUAUGGAGGAACACCGGUGGCGAAAGCGGCUCUCUGGCCUGUAACUGACACUGAGGCUCGAAAGCGUGGGGAGCAACAGGAUUAGAUACCCUGGUAGUCCACCGCCGUAACGAUGAGUGCUAGAUGUAGGAGCUAUAAGUCUCUGUAUCGCAGCUAACGCAAUAAGCACUCCGCCUGGGGAGUACGACCGCAAGGUUGAAACUCAAAGGAAUUGACGGGGGCCCGCACAAGCGGUGGAGCAUGUGGUUUAAUUCGAAGCAACGCGAAGAACCUUACCAGGUCUUGACAUACUCGUGCUAUUCCUAGAGAUAGGAAGUUCCUUCGGGACACGGGAUACAGGUGGUGCAUGGUUGUCGUCAGCUCGUGUCGUGAGAUGUUGGGUUAAGUCCCGCAACGAGCGCAACCCCUAUUGUUAGUUGCCAUCAUUAAGUUGGGCACUCUAACGAGACUGCCGGUGAUAAACCGGAGGAAGGUGGGGAUGACGUCAAAUCAUCAUGCCCCUUAUGACCUGGGCUACACACGUGCUACAAUGGAUGGUACAACGAGUCGCGAGACAGUGAUGUUUAGCUAAUCUCUUAAAACCAUUCUCAGUUCGGAUUGUAGGCUGCAACUCGCCUACAUGAAGUCGGAAUCGCUAGUAAUCGCGGAUCAGCACGCCGCGGUGAAUACGUUCCCGGGCCUUGUACACACCGCCCGUCACACCACGGGAGUUGGGAGUACCCGAAGUAGGUUGCCUAACCGCAAGGUAGGGCGCUUCCUAAGGUAAGACUCGAUGACUGCUAGUAGUCGCGGAGACUAAAUCGUAAU